Molecule: ribosomal RNA, 425 nt
Filed under: uncultured bacterium
Lineage: Bacteria
Description: bacterial SSU rRNA
Rfam family: Bacterial small subunit ribosomal RNA
Source: RNAcentral
GGGGAAUUUUGGACAAUGGGCGCAAGCCUGAUCCAGCCAUGCCGCGUGAGUGAAGAAGGCCUUCGGGUUGUAAAGCUCUUUCGGCCGGAACGAAAUCGCGCCCCCUAAUACGGGGUGUGGAUGACGGUACCGGAAGAAGAAGCACCGGCUAACUACGUGCCAGCAGCCGCGGUAAUACGUAGGGUGCGAGCGUUAAUCGGAAUUACUGGGCGUAAAGCGUGCGCAGGCGGCGCGCCAAGUCAGAUGUGAAAGCCCCGGGCUUAACCUGGGAAUUGCGUUUGAAACUGGCGGGCUGGAGUGUGGCAGAGGGAGGUGGAAUUCCACGUGUAGCAGUGAAAUGCGUAGAGAUGUGGAGGAACACCGAUGGCGAAGGCAGCCUCCUGGGCCAACACUGACGCUCAUGCACGAAAGCGUGGGGAGCAAAC